UAACGCGUAGGUAACCUGCCUUGUAGCGGGGGGGUAACUAUUGGAAACGAUAGCUAAUACCGCAUAACAAAUGGGUGGACUCAUGUCAUUUAUUUGAAAAGGGGCAAAAUGCUCCACUACAAGAUGGACCUGCGUUGUAUUAGCUAGUAGGUGAGGUAACGGCUCACCUAGGCGACGAUACAUAGCCGACCUGAGAGGGUGAUCGGCCACACUGGGACUGAGACACGGCCCAG
Molecule: ribosomal RNA, 233 nt
Filed under: uncultured bacterium
Lineage: Bacteria
Description: partial 16S ribosomal RNA
Rfam family: Bacterial small subunit ribosomal RNA
Source: RNAcentral